Molecule: ribosomal RNA, 254 nt
Filed under: uncultured bacterium
Lineage: Bacteria
Description: partial 16S ribosomal RNA
Rfam family: Bacterial small subunit ribosomal RNA
Source: RNAcentral
UACGGGGGGAGCAAGCGUUGUUCGGAUUUACUGGGCGUAAAGGGCGCGUAGGCGGCCACCGCAAGUCAGUUGUGAAAGCUCUGGGCUUAACCCAGAAAGGUCAGCUGAUACUGCGGGGCUAGAGUGCAGAAGGGGCAACUGGAAUUCUCGGUGUAGCGGUGAAAUGCGUAGAUAUCGGGAGGAACACCAGUGGCGAAGGCGGCGAUCUGGGUCGAUACUGACGCUGAGGUGCGAAAGCGUGGGGAGCAAACAGG